This is a long non-coding RNA of Sciurus carolinensis (gray squirrel), 2160 nucleotides long. RefSeq lists it as uncharacterized. The transcript has 3 exons. Lineage: Eukaryota; Metazoa; Chordata; Mammalia; Rodentia; Sciuridae. The record is from RefSeq and is a predicted model, not a curated record.
GGCAGUUGAGAGAGGCAGAGGUGCCCCCUGGAUCAGAGGCAGUCGGGUCCCAGGGACCACAGAAUUUAUGCUUUGGAAACAGUGUGACACGGCCAGAGCCCCUGCACUCUCCUGUCUGAUUGGCUGCUGCGGGACCCCCAGGCCAUGGUGCACGUGAGGGAGGCUGGGACGCGUCUCCAAGGUUGAGUCUUCAGGCAGGAAGGGUUGGCAUUGAUUUCUUUCUCUUGGGUGCAAAAUGCGGGAAAUCCUGUUGCAAACGAAGGGGGCUCCAUGGUCUCAGAAGUGACAAGAGGGACACAGUCCCCACCAAGGAGAGAGCACAGCUGCCUGCUGCUGCAUCCGGCCAGGCGCUGGCUCCCAGGCUGCUGUGCAGUGUGCACACUCCCUGCCCUGUGGAGUUUUGCAUCCAGCUUAAGACAGCAGAAAGAACCGUGGGUCUGCAUUUCUUCCUCUGUUUCCCAGGUCUCGGGUUGCAAUGAAGUCCUCGUGGGAAGCAAACCACCAAACUCCCCUCCCGUGUCUCUACAAGACAGUUCUGAGCUCAGAUCCGUUCUGUUCCCUUUUGGUGUUUUGUGGACUUUGAAUUCCAACAGCCCUCAUCUGUGUGCAGUUAAGAAUGUCUACUGAUUUCAGAAGGAAGUCUUCAGUCGGGCCCUCUGCGACGCGGCUCUCCUUUAAUCCGUCUUUGGUGGGCAUCGGCAGCAACGCUUCUUUCUUGGAGGAAACAUAUAAGAGCCAAAAUUUAUCGGGAUCCCAGAUUUUUUAAGUUAAAAGCUCACCUGGGUCUCAUCUGACCCAUGACUCCACCAACUCUGUCCAACAAGAAAGGAAAACAUCCUCAGAGCAAGAGCGGACUUGUCCAACUGGCGGGAUGGCGGAGAUUCCAAAUCUGGAGGACCGUGACCUGGAGGUGUCCCCGGCAGCACACGUCUGCACGCCCAGCACCUGGGCCGGGCAGUGAACGGCGGGGUAAUUCUAGAGGAGCAGGGAGCGGAGCACGGUUUGGUUUUCCUGGGGUGACAACUGGGACUCUUGUUUCCCGGGUUCUAACCAGCAGGCUCCCAUAUCCUGAGGCCUUGCUUGGCAGGUGCGAGCCCUCAUGGACUGCUGGGCCCCAGCCCCCGUCCAGGCUCAGCCCUCCCUUCUCACACCCGCGGCCAGGUGGGGGGCAGUGGCUUUCCUGGCCGCAGUGGCCGCAGCUCAUGCAAGGGGGCGGGCUGCUUUUCCCUCCUCCAGGGCGGCGCUCCAGGGCCGCCUCCGCGGGCGCGUGCCAGGCAGUCCAGGAGCUCCCUCUUCCUCUCACCAGACUGCCAAUGAGCAGAAAUGGCAUUAGAACCCAGUAUUAGGGGAAAUAGUUUGCCCCCUGGGUUUCCCUGCGGUGCCUCCCUCCUCGCCUCCGCGCCUCUAAGAACCUUCGUGGGGGAUGGGAGAGAUCCACGUGUCCAGGGGCAGCAGAAGCCUGGAGCCCUGCUGGCUUCUCAGAAGGGCCGCAGAGGUAAGGGGCAGGCAGGCAGCGACUGCUGCACUUGCCUGGUGUGCUGGGCGCCCCUUCCUGUCCUGACAGGACAGCGUGACUGGGUGGGUGCUGAGCACCCCGAGGGUCCAGGGCUGCAGGAAGGCCGGCCACCGAGCGAGGACCAUCAUCCUCCAGCUGCCAGGAUGAGGCCGCCUGCAGCAACCAGGGAAGGAGCCAACAGAGGGAGAGGCCUGGCCUUUGAGGAGCCGUUCAGGUCCUCGUCAUCGUGUGUCCCGGGCGAGGCCAAGCUGCGCGGGCACCCUGUGAGUUUACGGGCUGGGCUGACUUACAGCGGAGCUGACUGAGAACGAGACCCCUUCCCACGGCUUCCAGAGCAGACUUGCUGGAGUCCUGUCCAGGCCGAAGACUCUUCCCCUCCUGAGGGAGGCCAGGGAGCCAGGCCCUCUGGCUGCAUCUCAAGGCCCCACAUGAAGCGACCCUGCCUCCUUUCAACCCAUUGGCAUUGUUGGCACACCUUUCCCAAGCUGGCAGGUCGGGCUGGAGGAGAGCCACCGCACUUCAAGACCGAAGGCCAGGUGCACGCCAGGCUCGGUUACCUGCCUACCUUGAAGACUGGUUUCAUGCACAGCUAGUCGGGGGCUUGAUGAGAAAUCUUAGGACUAUUUUAAGAGUUCUAAUCAAUU